Molecule: ribosomal RNA, 242 nt
Filed under: Thalassiosira antarctica
Lineage: Eukaryota; Bacillariophyta; Thalassiosirophyceae; Thalassiosirales; Thalassiosiraceae
Description: partial Bacterial large subunit ribosomal RNA
Rfam family: Bacterial large subunit ribosomal RNA
Source: RNAcentral
GUUAAGUAAGGGCGUAUGGCGGAUGCCUAGGCUCUCAGAGGCGAUGAAGGACGUGAUAAGCUGCGAAAAGUUACGGGGAUUGGCACAUACAAAUUGAUCCGUAAAUAUCCGAAUGGGGCAACCUAACAUGUUGAAGACAUGUUACACUGUAAAGUGAGCAAACCCGGAGAACUGAAACAUCUAAGUACCCGGAGGAGAAGAAAACAAAAGUGAUUCCGCUAGUAGUGGCGAGCGAACGCGGA